RNAcentral lists this ribosomal RNA (497 nucleotides) under uncultured bacterium. Its description in RNAcentral is "partial 16S ribosomal RNA". It matches the Rfam family "Bacterial small subunit ribosomal RNA", at positions 28 to 507 of the family's 1533-position model. The record is from RNAcentral.
GAUGAACGCUGGCGGCGUGCCUAAUACAUGCAAGUCGAGCGAACAGACGAGGAGCUUGCUCCUCUGACGUUAGCGGCGGACGGGUGAGUAACACGUGGAUAACCUACCUAUAAGACUGGGAUAACUUCGGGAAACCGGAGCUAAUACCGUAUAACAUGUUGAACCGCAUGGUUCAACAGUGAAAGACGGUCUUGCUGCCACUUAUAGAUGGAUCCGCGCCGCAUUAGCUAGUUGGUAAGGUAACGGCUUACCAAGGCAACGAUGCGUAGCCGACCUGAGAGGGUGAUCGGCCACACUGGAACUGAGACACGGUCCAGACUCCUACGGGAGGCAGCAGUAGGGAAUCUUCCGCAAUGGGCGAAAGCCUGACGGAGCAACGCCGCGUGAGUGAAGAAGGUCUUCGGAUCGUAAAACUCUGUUAUUAGGGAAGAACAAAUGUGUAAGUAACUAUGCACGUCUUGACGGUACCUAAUCAGAAAGCCACGGCUAACUACGUG